This 217-nucleotide ribosomal RNA is filed under the name uncultured bacterium. Its description in RNAcentral is "partial 16S ribosomal RNA". It matches the Rfam family "Bacterial small subunit ribosomal RNA", at positions 1284 to 1500 of the family's 1533-position model. The record is from RNAcentral.
GAUCUCAGUUCGGAUUGCAGGCUGCAACUCGCCUGUAUGAAGUCGGAAUUGCUAGUAAUCGCGGAUCAGCAUGCCGCGGUGAAUACGUUCCCGGGCCUUGUACACACCGCCCGUCACACCAUGAGAGUCGGGAACACCCGAAGUCCGUAGUCUAACCGCAAGGAGGGCGCGGCCGAAGGUGGGCUUGAUAAUUGGGGUGAAGUCGUAACAAGGUACC